CCUUGCGCCGGCGAUGGUUCAUUCAAAUUUCUGCCCUAUCAACUUUCGAUGGUAGGAUAGUGGCCUACCAUGGUGGCAACGGGUAACGGGGAAUUAGGGUUCGAUUCCGGAGAGGGAGCCUGAGAAACGGCUACCACAUCCAAGGAAGGCAGCAGGCGCGCAAAUUACCCAAUCCCGACACGGGGAGGUAGUGACAAUAAAUACUGAUACGGGGCUCUUUUGGGUCUCGUAAUUGGAAUGAGUACAAUCUAAAUCCCUUAACGAGGAACAAUUGGAGGGCAAGUCUGGUGCCAGCAGCCGCGGUAAUUCCAGCUCCAAUAGCGUAUAUUAAAGUUGUUGCAGUUAAAAAGCUCGUAGUUGAACCUUGGGUCUGGCUGGCCGGUCCGCCUCACCGCGAGUACUGGUCCGGCUGGACCUUUCCUUCUGGGGAAUCUCAUGGCCUUCACUGGCUGUGGGGGGAACCAGGACUUUUACUGUGAAAAAAUUAGAGUGUUCAAAGCAGGCCUUUGCUCGAAUACAUUAGCAUGGAAUAAUAGAAUAGGACGUGCGGUUCUAUUUUGUUGGUUUCUAGGACCGCCGUAAUGAUUAAUAGGGAUAGUCGGGGGCGUCAGUAUUCAGCUGUCAGAGGUGAAAUUCUUGGAUUUGCUGAAGACUAACUACUGCGAAAGCAUUCGCCAAGGAUGUUUUCAUUAAUCAGGGAACGAAAGUUAGGGGAUCGAAGACGAUCAGAUACCGUCGUAGUCUUAACCAU
This 751-nucleotide ribosomal RNA is filed under the name Aspergillus niger. Its description in RNAcentral is "SSU rRNA". It matches the Rfam family "Eukaryotic small subunit ribosomal RNA", at positions 277 to 1033 of the family's 1831-position model. Lineage: Eukaryota; Fungi; Ascomycota; Eurotiomycetes; Eurotiales; Aspergillaceae. The record is from RNAcentral.